Tinamus guttatus (white-throated tinamou) is the source of this 335-nucleotide non-coding RNA. Lineage: Eukaryota; Metazoa; Chordata; Aves; Tinamiformes; Tinamidae. The record is from RefSeq and is a predicted model, not a curated record.
CAGAAUCUUUUUUGCUGUGUUCUGUAGCUCUUCUUCAUGCAUCUUCUGCCUAAUUUUGCUGAAUGCUGGUGGGAUCAAGUCAUUUUGGACAUCCUGCUUUGUAACGGGGGUGGCAUCUGGUUGGGCAUGGUAGUUUGUCGUUUCUUGGAGAUGAGGACCUAUCACUGGGCAAGCUUCAAGGACAUUCACACGACCACAGGGAAAAUCAAGAGAGCUGUGUUACAGUUCACCCCAGCCAGCUGGACCUAUGUUCGCUGGUUUGACCCGAAGUCUUCGUUUCAAAGAGUGGCUGGAGUCUACCUUUUCAUGAUCAUCUGGCAGCUGACUGAGGUGAA